AACCAUAGAAACCUGCGGAGUACCUGCGGAGGGAUCAUUACAGAGUUGCAAAACUCCCUAAACCAUUGUGAACGUUACCUAAACCGUUGCUUCGGCGGGCGGCCCGGGUCCUUCCCGGCGCCCCUCGGCCCUCGCGGGCGCCCGCCGGAGGUAAACCAAACUAUUGCAUUGUAUGGCCUCUCUGAGUCUUCUGUACUGAAUAAGUCAAAACUUUUAACAACGGAUCUCAGAUCGGAAGAG
This 240-nucleotide unclassified non-coding RNA is filed under the name soil metagenome. RNAcentral describes it as "partial contains 5.8S ribosomal RNA, internal transcribed spacer 2, and large subunit ribosomal RNA". The record is from RNAcentral.